Molecule: ribosomal RNA, 1266 nt
Filed under: Triticum aestivum (bread wheat)
Lineage: Eukaryota; Viridiplantae; Streptophyta; Magnoliopsida; Poales; Poaceae
Description: partial small subunit ribosomal RNA
Source: RNAcentral
AUGAAGAAUCUGAAGGAUGCUAAGACUAAGAUUUAUCCCUCUAAGACGAGGGGAGGUAAGGAACUGCCAUCCAGUUCUGCUUUAGAUUCACCUUCUGUUAUAAGUAAACUUGCAACACCACCACAUGCUAUCAAUUCUGAUAUGUCGCAAGUUAUUGAUGAUGCUACUUCUGCUAUGGAUAAUACUUAUGAUGAUGCUAGUACCUUGCUUGAUAAUGAUGAUGUGCCACUUGGUGAAUUUCUUGAUGAACAAAUUGCUAGAGUAAUACAACAUGAUGUUGUUGGAUCUGAUGAUGAGCUUGAAACUGAAACUCCUGAAACACCUGCUAGAACUAGCCUUCCUAGAUAUGAAUUGCCUAAGGUACCGGAAGGUUAUGUUAUGAAUGAGGAAACAACUAGAGAUAUUCUUGGUUGUAAGGAUAGAGAUGAUCUAGAGAAAUUAUUAUGCAAGUAUAAAGAAAAAUCUCUGAAUACUAGAAUGAAAUAUGAUCCUAAGUUUGCUACUUCACCGAUAUUUAUUGAUGAUAAGGAUUAUGAAUUCUCUGCCGACCCAAAGUUAAUUACUUUGGUUGAAUCUGAUCCUUUGCAUGGUUAUGAAACUGAAAUAGUUGUGGCUCAUCUUACUAAGUUGAAUGACAUAGCCACCCUUUUUACUCAUGAUGAGAAAACUCGCUAUUACUUUAUUCUCAAAUUAUUUCCUUUCUCAUUAAAGGGUGAUGCUAAAGCUUGGUACAAUACUCUUGCUUCCGGUUAUGUGCGUAGUCCACAGGAUAUGAUCUAUUACUUCUCUAAAAAAUAUUUUCCUGCUCAUAAGAAACAAGCUGCCUUACAUGAAAUAUUUAACUUUGUGCAAACUAAAGAAGAGAGUCUCCCACAAGCUUGGGGGAGGCUUUGCCAGCUACUUAAUUCUUUGCCUGAUCACCCUCUUAAGAAAAAUGAAAUACUUGAUAUCUUCUAUAAUAGACUAACCGAUGCUUCUAGGGAUUUCCUAGACAGUUGUGCUGGUUGUGUUUUUAGGGAACGAACUGUUGGACAAGCCGAAGAAUUAUUGAAUAACAUAUUGAAAAAUUAUGAUGAUUGGACUCUUCCUAAACCACCGCCUAAGCCCACUCCAAAGAAGAGGGGUAUAUUAUAUCUCAGUCCUGAAGAUAUGCAAGAGGCAAACAAAUCUAUGAAGGAAAAAGGUAUUAAAGCUGAGGAUGUUAAAAAUUACCUCAUAUUGAAGAAAUACAUGGGCUUAAUACACCACCACUGCCUAAGGUGGUAG